This is a long non-coding RNA of Gasterosteus aculeatus aculeatus (three-spined stickleback), 3033 nucleotides long. The record is from Ensembl. Lineage: Eukaryota; Metazoa; Chordata; Actinopteri; Perciformes; Gasterosteidae.
UCAUUUUAUUUACUGUGAUGUUAAAAUCUUAAGUUCAGUGUGACUUGAAAGACUUUUAGAACAUGUGUUUCCAUGGAGUUAUGUUCUAUCUGAGGUAUCCUUCAGCUAGAUGUCGAUCACAUUAAGGUCUCGGCCGUGUUCGUCCCUUAUUGGCACCAAGUCCAUCUUACUACUUAUGCUAAUCCAUGUUAACAGCAGUUAACCUCUGUGAGCAACAGCGGCGAGGAGGACGUCCAACAAGCUCGGUGGGAACAGGGAAGCGGUCCAAUCUGGUAAAAGUGGGCGGAGCCCAGGAGGUGUUUCAGGCAGACCUACGUGUGUGUCACAGCAGAGCAGAACUCUCUGGAGGGUGUUAUGUUCAUAGCUGGGAUGUGACAGGAUGUUUGUCCCACAGGCCCGCAUCAAGUCCAAAAUAAUACAAAAAGGCUGAAAAUAGCAGAGCUGAGAUUUGGAGGAACAGAUUGUUUGCUUUGUGCGUCACUGCGAUGUGUGUACUAACAACCUGAGUACACACUGGCCCUUUUCCACAGAUGUCAUGUGUGCUGUGGACAAACGUUGAGUGCAAACACAGUGUUAACAUUCUGAUGGACUGAUGGACUGAACAAACGAGGGGUCAAAUAAAAAGUCGCAAAACACAAAUACUAAAAUAUUAUUUCAACUUUUGAACCAUUAUUAUUGUUAUUGUACCAACUUUUGGACUUCUUAGUGUUUUAUGACGUUAAUCACUUUAAAGCCAACAAAAACCUCUGUGUAGCCGGCGGUUGUAGACCAGCUAAUCAACUUAAUCAAAGAUGUCACCCACAGUCAUCUUUGUGACAUUGUCACCGAGGGCGGAUCGGUUCUGGCAGUAAUUUGUCGGCACGCCGGGUAUUCACUCGCACGUCGUCUUUUUAAUGUCCGCCGUUGCCCUGUUAUCAAGACCCAGAGACAGCUGUGUCGUCGGGAAUAGAACCGCUUCGGCGACACGCCUACGGCAAAACACCUGAUGUGCAAUGUGGCGUUCGUUCACCUUCAGAGAGGCCGGCUAAUUCCUGCUGUCUUUGAUGCUGCUGCCGAUGCACCACUCACUGGCAGAUGGGAGCCAAAGGGUGACGCUCAGAGGCAGAGAACACCAACGCCUCCUGCUGCCUGUUAACCACAAAUGAGUGCCGAGAUGGUCGUCCGUGCCAUCUUCAGCCGACAUUCUUGUACCUUUCUCUUUCUUUAUUGGGAGAACUGUGUCUCUGGGUGCUGUAAGUACAGUUUGUUGCACUGCCGGCAUCCCCUGCGUCUCUAAUCAGCCGUACUGAUGGGGAAUGUCUCAGCGAAGGCGAGGACCAGAGAGCCAAACAGAAGGCGUUCGUUGGAUUGUUUAGGGACAGUGUGCCUAAAAGGCCUUUCGCUCUGGCAUCUGGACAACUGGGCCACCUCCAGGUUUUGGGUCGCACAGUGUGUUUGGUUGGCAGCUCAGCCAGCGGCAACAAACCGGGGAAGGUAAACGAAAAGCGCCACUCGUCGCUUCUCAUAUGCCGGAAUGAAAGUACGCUUUUGGGUAGACCGUGUCCGGUUUGCGUCAGUGGGGAUAACGCCGCGAGAGAUGAACUCGUAUUGUGGUUUCAUACAUGAAGAUUUAAAAAAAUGUUGGAACAUUUUUAAAAAGAGAAACCCGUCUUGCAGGAGCGCUGCUGGAUGCGUGGACACCGGAGUGACAGUUUCAUCUUUUGAAGCCCGUAGUGAAAAGGGAUAAUGAGAGGAUAACUAAGACAUUUCUGUUUCCUGAAACUGUGGUCCAACCGGCUGAGAAUCCCUCCUGUCUGGUUUGUGCUGAUGAGCAAAUGCAGUCGGUAACCUAGAUAGUUGCCCAGGAAGACCUUCAUUAAGGAGCCGUCUCUCAGCAGCAGAAAAAUACCUUCUUUCGCUUCUGCGUAUCCCUUAGGACACAAACAGGUGUGUGAGCAAAAUAAUUAUGCAUGGCAUGUUUGCUUUAAUGUCUUCUGCACAGCUUCCUGGGACUCAGUGAUGAAGAUAUAAAUAUAUUUUACCGCUUUGGAUGUGAUCGCUUCCUGUUUUUUUUAAACAUAUAGAAGGAGCGAACCCAUUGUGUUGGCUUGUGUUCUGUCCACAUAAUGAACCAUUAAACAAUGGCUGGUUUAGUCACGUUAGCGUAAUGCCUCCUCUUCGCAUCUCAAGAUAUUUAAAUAGAUUUGGACAAAGACUGACCCCAAACUUCCAGCAAUCAAACCCUAAGAAGAAUUUUCUACUCUCUAAAACCUUGACAAAAAAUAACAUUGUGUUGUUUAGUGUGUACAGGUCCUUUUAAUCCAUGGAAUAUUACUCAAAGAAGUCGACAGCAAGGGCUGCAGUAAGUGAUGAAAGGAUGGAGUCGUUUUCUCAUCGGGUUGACGUUUUGUUUAUCAAAACAAAUAAAACAGAAAGUCGAGUGAGGAAUGUUGAGCCAGAUGUACGGAAGUAACACAUCGGCGCACCAUCACAGUGUGCAUUGUCAUCCUGAUGAUUAAACUAUAUCGUGUACCAGAAUGGUUCCAUUAAUUAUCUCUAACCUUGACCAGAGACAGCAAUAGAUGUUCAAGUUAAAGACACAUUUCUUUCCUCUUGGAACUGCAGAGUAAAAAACAACAAUGACCGCGUAGCACCGAGGAUUUAAAAAAAACAACAUAUAUAUCUCACAUUGGCCCCUUGAAAGAACCGCAGCCGGUGAGAAGUUGUUUGUCCAUUUGCAUAUGACCUUGUGGAGUGUUUGGGUGUAGGACAGAAAGGUGCUCUAAUCAGACAGCUUGAUUAAACCUGUGCAGGCCCCCGUUGCAUGAGGGGCUUUCAGCUCACAUGCACAAAGGUGCACUCAUUUGAGAAUCCCCUAUCAUGGUAAAUGAGUGUCAGUCAAGGUCUGAGAUGCACUGUAUCAGUCACAGUGUCUUCUCAUUAAUCCUAAAUUCCCACAAUGCCUUCUGUGGGGGUUUUUUCAAAUGGGAAACGUAAUAUAUUUGACAAAUGUUUAGACCCCAUUGUUGAAUAUGUGUUUAUGAUGACAGCUAA